RNAcentral lists this unclassified non-coding RNA (307 nucleotides) under Hevea brasiliensis (rubber tree). The record is from RNAcentral. Lineage: Eukaryota; Viridiplantae; Streptophyta; Magnoliopsida; Malpighiales; Euphorbiaceae.
UGGAAAUGCACUGACACACCCAAUUUACCCAAAUAUCAGAAAAACCCAUUCGUCUCAUGACAGCAAUAAGAAAAUGACAAUUAACAGAAUUAUAAACUUUAUGGAUAUCUAACUUUGUCGCCAUUGCUCAUGUACUGCCCUUCUUUAUAUUCCUUAAUCCAUGGAACUGUUCAUGAGCCAUACAAAUAUUGUCUUGAAUAUUUCUCCCUGGAACAAAAGCCACUUGAUUAGGAGAGAUAAUCUCUUGCAACCAAGGUUUCAGAUUGUUAGCUAAUAUUUUAGAAAUAACCUUGCAGACGUAAUUACA